RNAcentral lists this ribosomal RNA (253 nucleotides) under Faecalibacterium prausnitzii. Its description in RNAcentral is "partial 16S ribosomal RNA". It matches the Rfam family "Bacterial small subunit ribosomal RNA", at positions 524 to 776 of the family's 1533-position model. The record is from RNAcentral. Lineage: Bacteria; Bacillati; Bacillota; Clostridia; Eubacteriales; Oscillospiraceae.
AACGUAGGUCACAAGCGUUGUCCGGAAUUACUGGGUGUAAAGGGAGCGCAGGCGGGCGAUCAAGUUGGAAGUGAAAUCCAUGGGCUCAACUCAUGAACUGCUUUCAAAACUGGUCGUCUUGAGUAGUGCAGAGGUAGGCGGAAUUCCCGGUGUAGCGGUGGAAUGCGUAGAUAUCGGGAGGAACACCAGUGGCGAAGGCGGCCUACUGGGCACCAACUGACGCUGAGGCUCGAAAGUGUGGGUAGCAAACAGG